CCUACGGGUGGCUGCAGUGAGGAAUAUUGGUCAAUGGACGAGAGUCUGAACCAGCCAAGUAGCGUGCAGGAUGACUGCCCUAUGGGUUGUAAACUUCUUUUAUAUGGGAAUAAAAUGUUCCACGUGUGGGAUUUUGUAUGUACCAUAUGAAUAAGGAUCGGCUAACUCCGUGCCAGCAGCCGCGGUAAUACGGAGGAUCCGAGCGUUAUCCGGAUUUAUUGGGCUUAAAGGGAGCGUAGGUGGAUUUGUAAGUCAGUUGUGAAAGUUUGCGGCUUAACCGUAAAAUUGCAGUUGAAACUGGCAGUCUAGAGUACAGUAGAGGUGGGCGGAAUUCGUGGUGUAGCGGUGAAAUGCGUAGAUAUCAAGAAGAACUCCGAUUGCGAAGGCAGCUUACUGGACUGCAACUGACACUGAGGCUCGAAAGUGUGGGUAUCAAACAGGAUUAGAUACCCCAGUAGUC
Molecule: ribosomal RNA, 460 nt
Filed under: uncultured bacterium
Lineage: Bacteria
Description: partial 16S ribosomal RNA
Rfam family: Bacterial small subunit ribosomal RNA
Source: RNAcentral